UACGGAGGGUGCAAGCGUUAUCCGGAUUCACUGGGUUUAAAGGGUGUGUAGGCGGGCUAUUAAGUCAGUGGUGAAAUCUCCGGGCUCAACCCGGAAACUGCCAUUGAUACUAUUAGUCUUGAAUAUCGUUGAGGUAGGCGGAAUAUAUCAUGUAGCGGUGAAAUGCAUAGAUAUGAUAUAGAACACCGAUUGCGAAGGCAGCUUGCUAAACGAUUAUUGACGCUGAGGCACGAAAGCGUGGGGAUCAAACAGG
Molecule: ribosomal RNA, 253 nt
Filed under: uncultured bacterium
Lineage: Bacteria
Description: partial 16S ribosomal RNA
Rfam family: Bacterial small subunit ribosomal RNA
Source: RNAcentral